UACGAAGGGGGCUAGCGUUGCUCGGAAUUACUGGGCGUAAAGCGCACGUAGGCGGUCUUUUAAGUCAGGGGUGAAAUCCUGGAGCUCAACUCCAGAACUGCCUUUGAUACUGAAGAUCUUGAGUUCGGGAGAGGUGAGUGGAACUGCGAGUGUAGAGGUGAAAUUCGUAGAUAUUCGCAAGAACACCAGUGGCGAAGGCGGCUCACUGGCCCGAUACUGACGCUGAUGCACGAAAAGCGUGGGGAGCAAACAGG
Molecule: ribosomal RNA, 254 nt
Filed under: uncultured bacterium
Lineage: Bacteria
Description: partial 16S ribosomal RNA
Rfam family: Bacterial small subunit ribosomal RNA
Source: RNAcentral